RNAcentral lists this small nuclear RNA (104 nucleotides) under Cervus hanglu yarkandensis (Yarkand deer). Lineage: Eukaryota; Metazoa; Chordata; Mammalia; Artiodactyla; Cervidae. The record is from RNAcentral.
GUGCUCACUUCGGCAGCACAUAUACUAAAAUUGAAACAAUACAGAGAUUAGCAUGGCCCCUGCACAAAGAUGACACACAAAUUCGUGAAGCGUUCCAUGUUUAA